Lonchura striata (white-rumped munia) is the source of this 1164-nucleotide non-coding RNA. Lineage: Eukaryota; Metazoa; Chordata; Aves; Passeriformes; Estrildidae. The record is from RefSeq and is a predicted model, not a curated record.
AGAGAAGGCUGCAGAGUGGAAAGGUGAUGUGCCACCAGCUCCCGGCAGUGGAUCAGCUGCGAGCUGUCCAUCUGGAGUGGGAAGACAAGCAAAGCUGGAGUGUGCUCCCAGAGUACCUGCAAGGUUGCCUGUAUGCUGUGAAUGAAUGGAGGGGAGCCACUAACAAGUGGAGUUUUUCCCUGGUGUGUUUUCUCCCUGGUGCAGCACAGGCCUGUGUCCAUCAGGGCACACGGCUCCUCCCAUCACGCAGUGGAGGUGGUCAGGACUGAGACCUGGCGGCACUGUCCCUGCAGCUGUCACUCCAGGCUGAGGCCCAGCUAUCCCCACACGAGCAGAACGGCAGGCAGCAAGGAACAGCAAAGCCCUGGCGGCCUGGAGCGCUGAGCAGCAUCUGGCCCCGGUCCCUCCCCACUCCGUGUGCACUGCCCUCCUCACCUGUGCCUUCUGGAGCAGCUCGAUGAUGAGAGCCAGCCAGUCGGGGAGCAGCUUCUCCAGCUCCAGGCUGACGAUGGCCAGCGCCAGCAUGGAGCCCUUGAACUGCAGCAGCUGGAAACAGGCCAUGCAGUGCAGCAGCUGCUUGGUGAGCGCCGCCACGUGCUGCGAGGGGCUCGGCGUGGGCAGCAGGGCCAGGAGCUGCGGCCUGCUGGACACCGCCACGGCGUGGAACUGCGGGACACAAGCACAGGGGGCAGCUGGCAGCGCUGGCCAGGCCGUGGCACGCCUGGGGAACAGCUUACACACGCAAGGGUUCUCCAGCCUAACCCUGGAGGCAACUUCUGCCCCGUGGGGAAAAACCCGAUGUGCCGAACCCACCAAAGCUUGGUGCAGCCCUUCUGGUGGGACCUCCUUAGGCACGAGGCUCUAGGGCUCUGUAAAAGGUGUUCCCAUCUACCCUUCUCUCUCCAGUGCACAUGUAGCAGUCAGGGGUCCUAGACAAACUUCUCAGGGAAGGAGUGAGGAAAAAUUCCACAGAGAACUUCAGGACAUCUCCCUUGACCUCUCGUGCAUGCAUCCUGGCUCUUGGCCAUGCAGGUGUGCAGCAGGCAUGGAUCCACACGUACAGCCCACCCGUGGGGCUUUCUCUGUGCCUGCACUCCUUCUUUCCCUGCUGUCUGGUGUUUAGCUUUGAGGAAAACCAUUGGCAGUAAAGAGUUACGAGCACAA